This 336-nucleotide long non-coding RNA is filed under the name Vigna radiata. Its description in RNAcentral is "long non-coding RNA (VRAD_LNC007209)". The record is from RNAcentral. Lineage: Eukaryota; Viridiplantae; Streptophyta; Magnoliopsida; Fabales; Fabaceae.
AUGAUUUCCUUUUGGCACUUCAAUUGAUGGGAUACAUCCAUCCCUUAUUCAUCCCUAGCGCAAGUCUAAUUUGGAGCCUUUGCCUAACCCACAACCUGCAAUAUUACCCUUCCUUUCAUCCAACAUAUCAACCUCUACGACUAUCCUAUCUACCUCUUCUACUUUAAACCAGUUAACCGUGCCUCCAAGCCCUACCCCUACAUCACGACUCGUCCCUCCUACUAAGACCAUGGUCAUUCGUAGCAUGAUAAGUGUCUAUAAACCUAGAAAGCCAUUUAACCUUUUUGUUUUCAUUGACGACCCAAAAAUGUCACCUUUUUCCAAACAUCACACCCU